This 243-nucleotide ribosomal RNA is filed under the name uncultured bacterium. RNAcentral describes it as "partial 16S ribosomal RNA". It matches the Rfam family "Bacterial small subunit ribosomal RNA", at positions 95 to 334 of the family's 1533-position model. The record is from RNAcentral.
CCGGCGCACGGGUGAGUAACACGUAUGCAAUCCACCUGUAACAGGGGGAGUAACCCGGAGAAAUCCGGACUAAUACCCAUAAUAUGGGCGCUCCGCAUGGAGAGUUCAUUAAAGAGAGCAAUUUUGGUUACAGACGAGCAUGCGCUCCAUUAGCCAGUUGGCGGGGUAACGGCCCACCAAGGCGACGAUGGAUAGGGGUUCUGAGAGGAAGGUCCCCCACAUUGGAACUGAGACACGGUCCAA